UCUAGUGGCUGCUUUGUAAUAUGGGUUUGGUUACUUUGGGAAGGGAAAAAAUGAGAACGUGAAGAAGAAAUCAAAGAUGGCGGAAAGUGAUGCCGUAAUGUUAUCGUUCUAAGCUGAUACGGACCUUAAAAUGUUGUUGCCUUGGACAAGAUAUGUCUUUUUACGAUGGUCAAAGAGAAGGCAAUGGUCAGAGGCCAUUCUUCAAUAAAUCAGCACAAAAAGGAAAAUAAGUCUGGUUAUUGGAGCAUCGUUAUCUCGCUGUCUAGCUGGUGAAACUAAGAGACUCAGGGCGAGGACAGCAUAU
Long non-coding RNA from Oreochromis niloticus (Nile tilapia), 304 nucleotides. RefSeq lists it as uncharacterized. Lineage: Eukaryota; Metazoa; Chordata; Actinopteri; Cichliformes; Cichlidae. The transcript has 2 exons. The record is from RefSeq and is a predicted model, not a curated record.